GACGAACGCUGGCGGCGUGCUUAAUACAUGCAAGUAGAACGCUGAAGGAGGAGCUUGCUUCUCUGGAUGAGUUGCGAACGGGUGAGUAACGCGUAGGUAACCUGCCUGGUAGCGGGGGAUAACUAUUGGAAACGAUAGCUAAUACCGCAUAAGAGUAGAUGUUGCAUGACAUUUGCUUAAAAGGUGCAAUUGCAUCACUACCAGAUGGACCUGCGUUGUAUUAGCUAGUUGGUGGGGUAACGGCUCACCAAGGCGACGAUACAUAGCCGACCUGAGAGGGUGAUCGGCCACACUGGGACUGAGACACGGCCCAGACUCCUACGGGAGGCAGCAGUAGGGAAUCUUCGGCAAUGGACGGAAGUCUGACCGAGCAACGCCGCGUGAGUGAAGAAGGUUUUCGGAUCGUAAAGCUCUGUUGUAAGAGAAGAACGAGUGUGAGAGUGGAAAGUUCACACUGUGACGGUAUCUUACCAGAAAGGGACGGCUAACUACGUGCCAGCAGCCGCGGUAAUACGUAGGUGGCAAGCGUUAUCCGGAUUUAUUGGGCGUAAAGAGAGUGCAGGCGGUUUUCUAAGUCUGAUGUGAAAGCCUUCGGCUUAACCGGAGAAGUGCAUCGGAAACUGGAUAACUUGAGUGCAGAAGAGGGUAGUGGAACUCCAUGUGUAGCGGUGGAAUGCGUAGAUAUAUGGAAGAACACCAGUGGCGAAGGCGGCUACCUGGUCUGCAACUGACGCUGAGACUCGAAAGCAUGGGUAGCGGACAGG
This 764-nucleotide ribosomal RNA is filed under the name uncultured Streptococcus sp. RNAcentral's name for it is "bacterial SSU rRNA". It matches the Rfam family "Bacterial small subunit ribosomal RNA", at positions 28 to 776 of the family's 1533-position model. Lineage: Bacteria; Bacillati; Bacillota; Bacilli; Lactobacillales; Streptococcaceae. The record is from RNAcentral.